CCUACGGGAGACAGCAGUGAGGAAUAUUGGUCAAUGGGCGCGAGCCUGAACCAGCCAAGUAGCGUGAAGGAUGACUGCCCUACGGGUUGUAAACUUCUUUUAUAUGGGAAUAAAACAGGGUAUGCAUACCCUCUUGUAUGUACCAUAUGAAUAAGGAUCGGCUAACUCCGUGCCAGCAGCCGCGGUAAUACGGAGGAUCCGAGCGUUAUCCGGAUUUAUUGGGUUUAAAGGGAGCGUAGGUGGAUUGUUAAGUCAGUUGUGAAAGUUUGCGGCUCAACCGUAAAAUUGCAGUUGAAACUGGCAGUCUUGAGUACAGGAGAGGUGGGCGGAAUGCGUGGUGUAGCGGUGAAAUGCUUAGAUAUCACGAAGAACUCCGAUUGCGAAGGCAGCUCACUGGACUGCAACUGACACUGAUGCUCGAAAGUGUGGGUAUCAAACAGGAUUAGAUACCCGGGUAGUC
RNAcentral lists this ribosomal RNA (460 nucleotides) under uncultured bacterium. RNAcentral describes it as "partial 16S ribosomal RNA". It matches the Rfam family "Bacterial small subunit ribosomal RNA", at positions 338 to 795 of the family's 1533-position model. The record is from RNAcentral.